Argiope bruennichi is the source of this 610-nucleotide long non-coding RNA. RefSeq lists it as uncharacterized. The transcript is spliced from 3 exons. Lineage: Eukaryota; Metazoa; Arthropoda; Arachnida; Araneae; Araneidae. The record is from RefSeq and is a predicted model, not a curated record.
AAAUUUGUAUAUUUAUUAUUGUUAUUAAUGUUUCUUUUAUUUUGCAGGUAUGGAUGGCGACUGGAAGUCGGGGGUCCCUGGGCUAUUGGUAUAUGGUUUUAUUUAUUUAUAAUUUAUUAAUAAUUAAUUUAAUAUUAAUUAAUUGGUAGUGGCAGCCAAGCCGAAGGGCUUUUAAAAAAAUAUUCUGUCCUGUGUUCCGAUGGACUUAGAAAAAAAAGAUAGUAAUCGUGAGAUGAAGUCCAGCAAGAGGGUGACAACCUCCCCCAACCUGGCAUCACAACAAAAGGUGACAUCACAGAUAACACAACACACAGAAAAAGAAAAAUAGAAUUUCUACCCAAAGAAGAGGAUGGAAACACAUCGGACAAUGAGGCAUUUUUUGAUUGAAAGAGAGGUGGAUGCGGCCCAAGAAGGAAGGAGAUGAUUACUUCACAUGCUAAUUUUUUGAUAUCUGAUACAGUCUCUCGACCGAAUGAAAGGCUGGCAGCUGUAACUGAAAGUCCCGCAAAAGGAUCAGUCACCAAUAAAUGGCUACAGGAAAAAGUUUACUUACUUCAGCAGUAAAUAAUUUUCAUGUUAAAGAAUAAAAUAAAUAUUUUCCAUAUUAAAG